RNA transcript from Malus domestica (apple), 1981 nucleotides. It is a transcript of the gene named glucan endo-1,3-beta-glucosidase 11-like, with no coding region annotated. The record is from RefSeq and is a predicted model, not a curated record. Lineage: Eukaryota; Viridiplantae; Streptophyta; Magnoliopsida; Rosales; Rosaceae.
GGACAUUGUGCCCAUUCAGUACCCAGCUCUUUUCUGAAUUUCCGAGAGUGAGUGUCUGAGAGUGAAAGCUCACAGCUCUAUAUAUCACUCCUCUCUCUCUCCCCUCACUGCUGCCCCUCUCCCUCCCUCUCUCUCUCUCUCUCUCUCUCUCUCUCUCUCUCUACUCAUUGUUGCCCAAUUUGGAGCUGCUGCAGCUGCUACAUUCUUCCCUUUUCAGUCUCCAAGCUGUGCAGUGUACUCCAAAAAUGGCGGCCACCACCAGCUUCCCCUACCCCUCUGCAAUUUUCCUGUCAGUUCUCAUCAUUUCAGGGUUCAUCUUUCCAGAAACGGUAAAUUCAAUGGGAAUAAACUACGGCCAAAUCGCCAACAAUUUACCGUUACCGGACGACGUCGUUCCGCUGGUGAAGUCCAUCGGCAUCUCCAAGAUCAAGCUUUACGACGCCGAUCCCAAGGUCCUCAAAGCCUUCGCCAACACCGGCGUCGAGUUCAUAGUGGGCCUCCCCAACGGCUACCUCUCCAAGGUCCAGGACCCGGCCCAGGCCCAAUCCUGGGUAAAGUCCAACGUCCAGGCCCACCUCCCCGCCACCAACAUCACAAGCAUCUUCGUCGGCAACGAGGUCCUCACCCUCAACGACACGUCGUUGAACAACAACCUCCUUCCGGCAAUGCAGAGCGUCCACACCGCCCUCGUUGGUCUAGGCCUCGACAAGCAAGUCGCCGUCACCACCGCCCACUCCCUCUCCAUUCUGGAGACCUCGUUUCCGCCCUCCGCCGGCGCUUUCCGCCGAGAUCUGACUAGCUGCAUCACUCCGAUCCUCAAUUUCCACGCCAAAACCGGAUCGCCGUUCCUGAUCAACGCCUACCCUUACUUCGCCUACAAGUCGAACCCUAAGCAGGUGCAGCUCGACUAUGUCCUCUUCCAGCCGAACUCCGGCUCCGUUGAUCCCGCCACCAAUCUCCGCUACGACAACAUGCUCUUCGCCCAGAUCGACGCCGUGUACUCCGCCCUGGGCUCCCUCGGUUUCAAGAAGCUCCCGGUCCACAUCUCCGAGACCGGGUGGCCGUCGAAGGGAGAUGAGGACGAGGCCGGAGCGACGCCGGAGAACGCGAAGAAGUACAACGGGAAUCUGAUCAAGCUCAUUUGCCAGAAGAAGGGAACUCCGCUCAGGCCCGGGUCGGAUCUCAACAUCUACGUCUUCGCUCUAUUCAACGAGAACAUGAAACCCGGCCCGAGUUCAGAGAGGAACUUCGGGCUUUUUAAACCUGACGGGUCGCCCGCGUACCCAAUCGAGCUCGCGGCGGGCAACAUAUCCCUUGGUAACUCCAGUUCCAGUUCCAGUUCGGGUUCGGGUUCGAGUUCGGGCCAGGGACAGGUGAAUCCGAUUAGUAACGGUGGGUCACCGUCAGAUUCUUCCGGCACGCCAUACUUGUCCAUUUCCUCCGCCCCGGCCAUGAAGAGAUGGGAUGUAAUUGGUGGGAUUCCGAUGACGUGGCUAGUGGUCUCGUUGGUGAUGAAACACGUCCUUUGAGGUUGGACAAAAGCUGAGAGCAAAAUAUCUAAAGUUGCUCAAAUGGACGGUGGAAAAGAGAAAAAAGAAAAGAAAAUAGAAGAGGUUACUUGGGAAUUAGGAAAAAGGGUCUUUUUACUUGGACUAACGGCCACAAGGACGGUACUAUAAUGGUGGCUGAAGUGCUUUUAGAUGCUCUUAAGCUUGCAAAGUAGAGGAGUUUUUCCAAAAUUUCAGUGGAGGGAGACUCUAAGCUAGUUACAGAUAAUGUGGAAGGAAGGUGUGGUGUCCUUUGGACCUUUGGAGAAUUCGAGACACGAUUGCGGACAUUCAUUAGUUGGCAUCCUUCUUUUAUUGCGUGACUUGAAAGCAUAUUUAUCGAUAAGUAAAUUUUGUGAUUGAUGUUGUGACUAAUGUAGGUUGAUCCCUUUCUAAUAUGCAUAUUUAGAAUUGUACCCUUCCUUCGAGGGCUA